This 765-nucleotide ribosomal RNA is filed under the name uncultured Streptococcus sp. RNAcentral describes it as "bacterial SSU rRNA". It matches the Rfam family "Bacterial small subunit ribosomal RNA", at positions 28 to 776 of the family's 1533-position model. The record is from RNAcentral. Lineage: Bacteria; Bacillati; Bacillota; Bacilli; Lactobacillales; Streptococcaceae.
GAUGAACGCUGGCGGCGUGCCUAAUACAUGCAAGUAGAACGCUGAAGCUUGGUGCUUGCACCGAGCGGAUGAGUUGCGAACGGGUGAGUAACGCGUAGGUAACCUGCCUGGUAGCGGGGGAUAACUAUUGGAAACGAUAGCUAAUACCGCAUAACAGUAGAUAUUGCAUGAUAUCUGCUUGAAAGGUGCAAUUGCAUCACUACCAGAUGGACCUGCGUUGUAUUAGCUAGUUGGUGAGGUAACGGCUCACCAAGGCGACGAUACAUAGCCGACCUGAGAGGGUGAUCGGCCACACUAGGACUGAGACACGGCCCAGACUCCUACGGGAGGCAGCAGUAGGGAAUCUUCGGCAAUGGACGGAAGUCUGACCGAGCAACGCCGCGUGAGUGAAGAAGGUUUUCGGAUCGUAAAGCUCUGUUGUAAGAGAAGAACGAGUGUGAGAGUGGAAAGUUCACACUGUGACGGUAUCUUACCAGAAAGGGACGGCUAACUACGUGCCAGCAGCCGCGGUAAUACGUAGGUCCCGAGCGUUAUCCGGAUUUAUUGGGCGUAAAGCGAGCGCAGGCGGUUAGAUAAGUCUGAAGUUAAAGGCUGUGGCUUAACCAUAGUACGCUUUGGAAACUGUUUAACUUGAGUGCAAGAGGGGAGAGUGGAAUUCCAUGUGUAGCGGUGAAAUGCGUAGAUAUAUGGAGGAACACCGGUGGCGAAAGCGGCUCUCUGGCUUGUAACUGACGCUGAGGCUCGAAAGCGUGGGGAGCAAACAGG